This 253-nucleotide ribosomal RNA is filed under the name uncultured bacterium. RNAcentral describes it as "partial 16S ribosomal RNA". It matches the Rfam family "Bacterial small subunit ribosomal RNA", at positions 524 to 776 of the family's 1533-position model. The record is from RNAcentral.
UACGAAGGGGGCUAGCGUUGUUCGGAAUUACUGGGCGUAAAGCGCACGUAGGCGGAUCGAUCAGUCAGGGGUGAAAUCCCAGGGCUCAACCCUGGAACUGCCUUUGAUACUGUCGAUCUGGAGUAUGGAAGAGGUGAGUGGAAUUCCGAGUGUAGAGGUGAAAUUCGUAGAUAUUCGGAGGAACACCAGUGGCGAAGGCGGCUCACUGGUCCAUUACUGACGCUGAGGUGCGAAAGCGUGGGGAGCAAGCCGG